GGUUUAGGAUUUAGGGUUUAGGGUUUGAUUUAGGAUUUAGAGUUUGGUUAGGAUUUCAUCUAGGAUUUAUUUUAGGAUUUGAUUAGGGUUUGAUUUAGGCUUUAGGAUUUGGUUUAGGAUUUGGUUAGAAUUUGGUUUAGGAUUUGGUUUAGGAUUUGGUUUAGGAUUUGGUUUAGGAUUUGAUUUAGGGUUUAGAUUUCGAUUAGGGUUUCAUUUAGGAUUUGGUUUAGGAUUUGGUUGGAGUUUGGUUUAGGAUUUAGAAUUUGGUUAAAGUUUAGUUUAAGAUUUAGAGUUUGGUUAGGAUUUCAUUUAAGAUUUAGGAUUUGGUUUAGGAUUUGAUUUAAGAUUUGUUUAGGAUUUGGUUUAGGAUUUAGGAUUUGGUUAGGAUUUUAUUUAGGAUUUGGAUAGAAUUUGGUUUAGGAUUUGAUUAAGGUUUGAUUUAGGAUUUAGGAUUUGGUUUAGAAUUUAGGGUUUGAUUUAGGAUUUAGGAUUUUAUUAGGAUUUUUUAAGGGUUUAAUAUUAAAUUAGUUUUGGCUUGAAGUUUGAAUGAAGUCCAAUAGGAUUUUAACUAGAAUUAAAUUAAGAUUGAAUUGAGAUGUAUUUAAGUGAUAUUUGUAAUCAUUCUUAUAUUUCUUGAAGAUUUUUUAUUGUUUCUUUAAAAUUUCUUUGAAGUUUCUUUGAAUUUGAUUAAAGCUUGCUUAGCACUAUUAUGAUCUAAUUAGAAUUUAGUUAGUAUUUUAUUAUAGUUAAGAUUUU
RNAcentral lists this long non-coding RNA (756 nucleotides) under Physcomitrium patens. RNAcentral's name for it is "long non-coding RNA (PPAT_LNC014150)". The record is from RNAcentral. Lineage: Eukaryota; Viridiplantae; Streptophyta; Bryopsida; Funariales; Funariaceae.